RNAcentral lists this ribosomal RNA (707 nucleotides) under uncultured bacterium. RNAcentral's name for it is "bacterial SSU rRNA". It matches the Rfam family "Bacterial small subunit ribosomal RNA", at positions 1 to 695 of the family's 1533-position model. The record is from RNAcentral.
AAUUCGAUUGUUUGAUCAUGGCUCAGGACGAACGCUGGCGGCGUGCUUAACACAUGCAAGUGGAGCGACGAACCAGGCUUCGGCCUGGGGCAAAGCCGCGAACGGGUGAGUAACACGUGGGUAACCUGCCCUGAUGAUCGGGACAACCCGGGGAAACCCGGGCUAAUACCGAAUGUGCCCGCGAGCCACAAGGCUCGCGCGGAAAGGAAGCUUUGGCCUCCGCAUCGGGAUGGGCCCGCGGCCCAUUAGCUUGUUGGUGGGGUAAUGGCCUACCAAGGCAGCAAUGGGUAGCUGGUCUGAGAGGACGAUCAGCCACACUGGGACUGAGACACGGCCCAGACUCCUACGGGAGGCAGCAGUGGGGAAUCUUGCGCAAUGCGCGAAAGCGUGACGCAGCAACGCCGCGUGGGGGAAGACGGCCUUCGGGUUGUAAACCCCUUUCAGUUGGGACGAAGCUUCGUCGGUGAAUAGCCGGCUGGAGUGACGGUACCUUCAGAAGAAGCCCCGGCUAACUACGUGCCAGCAGCCGCGGUAAUACGUAGGGGGCAAGCGUUGUCCGGAAUCAUUGGGCGUAAAGAGCGUGUAGGCGGCCCGAUAAGUCCGCCGUGAAAGUCCAGGGCUCAACCCUGGAAUGCCGGUGGAUACUGUCGGGCUAGAGUCCGGAAGGGGCGAGUGGAAUUCCUGGUGUAGCGGUGAAAUGCGCAGAU